RNAcentral lists this ribosomal RNA (460 nucleotides) under uncultured bacterium. Its description in RNAcentral is "partial 16S ribosomal RNA". It matches the Rfam family "Bacterial small subunit ribosomal RNA", at positions 338 to 795 of the family's 1533-position model. The record is from RNAcentral.
CCUACGGGGGGCAGCAGUGAGGAAUAUUGGUCAAUGGCCGGAAGGCUGAACCAGCCAUGCCGCGUGAAGGUCAGUGCCCUAUGGGCGUUAAACUUCUUUUGUGCGGGAGCAAUAAUGGUCACGUGUGGCCAGACGAGAGUACCGUACGCAUAAGCAUCGGCUAACUCCGUGCCAGCAGCCGCGGUAAUACGGGGGAUGCAAGCGUUAUCCGGAUUUAUUGGGUUUAAAGGGUGCGUAGGCUGUGAGGUAAGUCAGCGGGGAAAUGCCCCCGCUCAACGGGGUGAAGUGACAUUGAUACUGCCUUGCUGGAAUGCGGAUGCGGUGGGAGGAAUGUGUGGUGUAGCGGUGAAAUGCAUAGAUAUCACACAGAACACCGAUUGCGAAGGCAUCUCACGAAUCCGCGAUUGACGCUGAUGCACGAAAGCGUGGGUAUCAAACAGGAUUAGAUACCCCAGUAGUC